Molecule: ribosomal RNA, 492 nt
Filed under: uncultured bacterium
Lineage: Bacteria
Description: partial 16S ribosomal RNA
Rfam family: Bacterial small subunit ribosomal RNA
Source: RNAcentral
AGUGAACGCUGGCGGUAGGCCUAACACAUGCAAGUCGAACGGCAGCACAGUAAGAGCUUGCUCUUACGGGUGGCGAGUGGCGGACGGGUGAGGAAUACAUCGGAAUCUACUUUUUCGUGGGGGAUAACGUAGGGAAACUUACGCUAAUACCGCAUACGACCUACGGGUGAAAGCAGGGGAUCUUCGGACCUUGCGCGAUUGAAUGAGCCGCUGUCGGAUUAGCUAGUUGGCGGGGUAAAGGCCCACCAAGGCGACGAUCCGUAGCUGGUCUGAGAGGAUGGUCAGCCACACUGGAACUGAGACACGGUCCAGACUCCUACGGGAGGCAGCAGUGGGGAAUAGUGGACAAUGGGCGCAAGCCUGAUCCAGCCAUACCGCGUGGGUGAAGAAGGCCUUCGGGUUGUAAAGACCUUUUGUUGGGAAAGAAAAGCAGCAGGUUAAUACCCCGCUGUUCUGACGGUACCCAAAGAAUAAGCACCGGCUAACUUCGUG